GGCAGCGGCGGCUGUCCAGGGAGGGCGAGAGGUCCGUCGCUGUGGCGGGGCUGGUACGGCGGCUGCAUGUUGAACGAUGGCGGCGCGUCACUCUGGCGAGGCUGGUACGGGUGCUGCAUGUUGUACGACGGCGGACGAGGCUGGUACGAUGGCUCAUUGACGCGAGGCUGGUACGGCGAUGGCUCGUUGAUCCGGGGCAGGUACGGCGAUGUCUCGUUGAUGCGAGGCUGGUAUGGCAGCGGCGGUGGUGGUGGGAGUGGCUGUGAAUCGGGUGCGCGUGGCGGCUGCAGCUGCUGGUGCUGUGGGCGCAUGAGUGGCUGCGGGUUGGGCUGCGCAGGGCGGGCCGGCG
This 349-nucleotide long non-coding RNA is filed under the name Hordeum vulgare. RNAcentral's name for it is "long non-coding RNA (HVUL_LNC000571)". Lineage: Eukaryota; Viridiplantae; Streptophyta; Magnoliopsida; Poales; Poaceae. The record is from RNAcentral.